GAAUAUUGGACAAUGGGGGGAACCCUGAUCCCGCCAUGCCGCGUGUGUGAAGAAGGCCUUUUGGUUGUAAAACACCUUAAGCGAGGAGGAGGCUACUCUAGUUAAUACCUAGGGAUAGUGGACGUUACUCGCCGAAUAAGCACCCGCCAACCCUGUGCCAGCCGCCGCGGUAAUACAAAGGGUGCAAGCGUUAAUCGGAUUUACUGGGCGUAAAGCGCGCGUAGGUGGCCAAUUAAGUCAAAUGUGAAAUCCCCGAGCUUAACUUGGGAAUUGCAUUCGAUACUGGUUGGCUAGAGUAUGGGAGAGGAUGGUAGAAUUCCAGGUGUAGCGGUGAAAUGCGUAGAGAUCUGGAGGAAUACCGAUGGCGAAGGCAGCCAUCUGGCCUAAUACUGACACUGAGGUGCGAAAGCAUGGGGAGCAAACA
Molecule: ribosomal RNA, 424 nt
Filed under: uncultured bacterium
Lineage: Bacteria
Description: bacterial SSU rRNA
Rfam family: Bacterial small subunit ribosomal RNA
Source: RNAcentral